ACACAAAUGGAAACAUUUUUUAAAUGUUGAACCAUACUGAGAGGGUGUCAUAGGUUUGUUGUUAUUCUUCAACUAUUUCCUUGGUAGAUAUUUAUUAUUUGUCUUAUUUUUUUUUGUUUUGAAAUGUGAGUACUUAUUAUCAUCAUGUUAUAACUGUAUAGGUGUUCUUUUUUUUAUCAACAUUUCUUGGAGUCUAAAAAAAUACUAAAACAUAUCACAGUUGUAUCACUAGUAUAAAAUGUGACUCUAGUAUCACUAGUGCAUUCGAUAAUCUGCAGGAUCCUGCAGUUUCUCUCUGCACCUUUGGAACAACAAACUCAACAAGUGGAGCAAUACCACCGUCAAUCCUAUAGUCAAAAAAAUACAGAUCUGUAAAAGGGAAAAGUCUUCCAAAUUCUUCUGGCUCAACUCAUGCUUCAGUUUUUGUAAAGGAAAAUGCAGGAGAUCAAAUUUGAAUAAUGCCCCCAGGUCAACUCAAUAUAUUGAAGCGAGCAAUAUAGUUUAUUUGAACUAUUAUUAUAUAUGUUUGAAUACAUUGUGAAAUUUAUUUGUAGUACACAUCUUUAAGAUAUUUCUUUCUAAGUAUGUAGUACGAGACA
Solanum tuberosum (potato) is the source of this 599-nucleotide long non-coding RNA. RefSeq lists it as uncharacterized. NCBI's taxonomy places the organism in Eukaryota, Viridiplantae, Streptophyta, Magnoliopsida, Solanales, Solanaceae. The record is from RefSeq and is a predicted model, not a curated record. The transcript is spliced from 2 exons.